UGCUUUCUUGUCAGUUCCUUUUGUGCUUC
Molecule: non-coding RNA, 29 nt
Filed under: Mus musculus (house mouse)
Lineage: Eukaryota; Metazoa; Chordata; Mammalia; Rodentia; Muridae
Source: RNAcentral